UACGGAGGGUGCAAGCGUUAUCCGGAUUUACUGGGUUUAAAGGGUGCGUAGGCGGGAUAUUAAGUCAGAGGUGAAAGCCCCGAGCUCAACUUGGGAACUGCCUUUGAAACUGAUGUUCUUGAAUAUAGUUGAGGCAGGCGGAAUACAGCAUGUAGCGGUGAAAUGCAUAGAUAUGCUGUAGAACACCAAUUGCGAAGGCAGCUUGCUAGACUAUUAUUGACGCUGAGGCACGAAAGCGUGGGGAGCGAACAGG
RNAcentral lists this ribosomal RNA (253 nucleotides) under uncultured bacterium. RNAcentral's name for it is "partial 16S ribosomal RNA". It matches the Rfam family "Bacterial small subunit ribosomal RNA", at positions 524 to 776 of the family's 1533-position model. The record is from RNAcentral.